Long non-coding RNA from Myotis lucifugus (little brown bat), 1633 nucleotides. RefSeq lists it as uncharacterized. Lineage: Eukaryota; Metazoa; Chordata; Mammalia; Chiroptera; Vespertilionidae. The record is from RefSeq and is a predicted model, not a curated record. The transcript is spliced from 5 exons.
UGUGUGUGGACUGGAGAACUUGAAGAUUGUUUUUUUCCUCUCCUUUUUUUUUUUUCCCCUCCGGUGCUGGUGGUUGUAAACUUGAUUGGCAUUGGCUGCGCCCACUGACCCCUGCGCCGAGUCCGCUGAAGAUUUAAGGUGGAUCCGAGAGGCUGCAGCUACAGGCGGAGUCUCGCGCUCGAGCUGGUUUUGGAGGAAAAAAAACAACCACCCCAAACCGGGCGCCCGCCGUGUUUUUACGCAUCCCCUGCGGUACCAGCCCCCGCGCGCCCCGCCCGCCGCGCGCUUCCUCCGCCCCCGCCCGCUUCUUCCCCAUUGGCCGCUGAGUGCAGUUUGAAUUUUUUUUUUCUGGGAUGCUUGUUUUCUUGUGAAAAAUACAGUUCUCCAGAUCGUGUGCCAAAACCGCUGCAGCGGCCCCAGGUGAGGUGUUUAGCUGGUUUUGUGGAAGCGGGAAGGAAGAGGAUAGGUGGAGCUUCUGUUCCAAAAAUUUCCCCCAAAGUGCGGUUGACAGCGUACAGACGGGUGGGGUGCGUGGGGCCGCCGUCACCAACCGGGAGACGCUUCGGCGGGGCCAGGGAUGUAGUAUAAACGUUAAUGGAUGUCCAGGGUGCGCAUUUCGCCGGCCGCGGGGCCGGAGAUACUGGGGAGGCGCCGGCAGGAGCUCCAGGCGAGGAUGCACCUUCCCCUGCGUGGAAAGAGUAUUUUUAUGGAAGGAGAAGGCUGAAACAAAACCCAAAGAAGGAAUGAUUUUGAAAGUGCCUUUGACUAGUGGAUCUGAAAGUUAAUUCUUUUGAUGAAAGAGGAAGGGAGAGGGAGAGAGAGAUAGAAACAUCAAUAAUGAGAAGGAAUCAUUAAUCACCUGCCGCCUACACGUCCCCACCCUGAGGAUCAAGCCCGAAACCCAGACAGGACGGCGGUAAGAGAAGACACGAACAAAUGAAAAGGCUGAGUUUUCCCCAGCUUCGUUGACCAGAGAAGCAAGGAGUUUGCGUGUGUGGAAGCCAAGACUACCUUUCAAGUUCAGGGUAAAAUCUCUCUCAUUCAAACCGUGUAAUCUUUGGCUUACCGGCAUCACCUUACUUUGCCCUUAGAAAUCCCCCGAAUCAGCCUCUUAAAGCAAGUACAGUGACCUUUCUCGACACGUCUCGUCCAUUCCUGUGUUUAAUGCAUGUAUAUUAGCCAAUAAUCGGAGUCUCUGAAAUCAUCGCUUGAUUCUGGUUUUUCCUUCAAGUUCUUUAUUCCCUUAAAGCUUCAAGCAGAAUUUAUUAUAUGAUUAAUAUGAAACGUCAGCGUAUAUGAUGGAGUAAAUGGUGUUAGGUUAGAACCACACAUACAUAAUGCCUUUUAUGUACUGUGAUUUUACACUUGGAUUCAGUAGUUCCUUUCUACAAAUUUACUUUUGGGAAAUGGUCAGAUAUGUGACUAAAGAUGUAUUUACCAGCAUGAUCAUUGUGAAGUUACAUAUUAGACUUUAAAAAGAAACAAAAUAAAUAACCGAACAACAUCCCCUUAGAUAUAGGAUUAAAGGAUUGAUUAUGUGGUUGCAACCAUUAAAACAUCCAGGUAGCUUUAUUUAUAUUAAUAUAAAAGUUGUCCAUAAUAUUAAACCAGGUAUAGAACAAUAUUUAUGGUA